AGGCCCAGAGGUAUGAUGUGCGCUUUUGAUGAUAUAUCAUGGUUGCAAUGCCCUUUUUAAUAAUUCAAGAUGGCCUCAAGUUAUUAGCCUGAGCUCAGGCUUGAUGUGUGAUUACUGAAUGGUAGGAUAAGCGAGGAAGCUUUGGUUUGGUAAGGAUUUACAAGGCUUUGCAUCAUGGUUGUUGUCUGGCUACUUUGUCUAUGGGUUGAAAAGGAUUUGUUUUUCUUUUUUUCUUUUCAUAAUUCUAAUUUUUGUUGUUCG
This 261-nucleotide unclassified non-coding RNA is filed under the name Hevea brasiliensis (rubber tree). Lineage: Eukaryota; Viridiplantae; Streptophyta; Magnoliopsida; Malpighiales; Euphorbiaceae. The record is from RNAcentral.